Homo sapiens (human) is the source of this 1541-nucleotide long non-coding RNA. RefSeq lists it as uncharacterized. Lineage: Eukaryota; Metazoa; Chordata; Mammalia; Primates; Hominidae. The record is from RefSeq and is a predicted model, not a curated record. The transcript is spliced from 2 exons.
CCUCGGAUGAUCUGCCCACCUCAGCCUCCCAAAGUGCUGGGAUUGCAGGCCUGAACCACCAUGCCUGGAUGCUACCACCCUUUUUAUAAUAUGCUUCUACAAAUGCACAAGCAUAGCAGUGGCCUUGUGACUCUUCUGUCUCUUUAUAUUGUCCUUGGGUGGAUGGAAGUCUUACUUUUAAUGUAGACAAACUUAUCGGUCUUUUACGUUUUGUCCUUUAUAUUGUCUAUAUUGUCCUUAGGUGGAUGGAAGUCUUACUUUUAAUGUAGACAAACUUAUCGGUCUUUUAUGUUUUGUCCUUUUUGUUUAGUCUGGCUUAAAUAAUUUUUUCUACUCUCCGAUUCAUAAAUAUCAUCAUCCAUGUAUUCUACACGUUUUAUAGUUUUACUUAUCACAUUUGAGGCUUUAAUUCAUGUGGUAUUAACUUCUUAUGUGAAGAAGGGAUUAUGUCAUUUUUCCCCAAAUAGACAACUAAUUAUCCUAACAUCAUUUAAUAGUUCAUCCUUUCCUUACCUUAAUGUGUUUUGGUGUUGAGUUUCUAGAUAUGGCACAAAUCAGGAAGGCAUUAUGCAAAUUAAUGAUGUUUAUAAAAUACUUCAGUAUACAAUUGUGCUUUCUAAUUUUAGAUACUAUAAAAAUGGAAUUAUAGAAUUAUGAGAUGCUAAAGCUGGAAUAGACAUCGACAAAAGUCAGUUAGCAUUUCAGUAAAAAAUAUUGGAGUGUCUACUACAUCUCCAUUAUUUUACCAUGCAUGUAUACUUGGAAAGCAGAGUAUGUGGAUAUGUAAGAGAAUACAAGUUCAGCCUGGUAGAACAGAAGGAGGGAGCCAAGUCUUUGGUCUUGUAGAUCUGGGUCCAAAUCUUGGCUUUGCUCUUGAGCUGUCAUCUCCACCAUAUCAUUUGAUCUCUCUAAUCUGCAAGAGAAAAAUAUUUUGCAAAAUUGUUUGGAAAUUAGUAAUUAUGUUUAUAAACAUAUAGAGCAGUAUGUGGCAUGCAAUCAGUGAUUGAUAGAUUAUAGUUGUCAUUUGGUUGGGAAGAUAAGACUAAUGUGUAUGUCAUACUUAUAUCUUGUAAACUAGAAGAUACUUAAAAUUGCUCUGGGAAUUCACAGAAGAAUAUCUCAUCACGGGGAAUAUAGCUUCAGUGAAGAAAUGAAACUUGAAGAUGUGUUCAAAGGAUGGAUUUCAGUUAAUUUCUAUAGAUUGAAGCCAGGUUGGAUGGAUGGAUUUCAUUUAUAUUUCUGGACAUGGACAGCAAUAAAGUGUCUUAAACAAUAAAAACGUAGAAAAUAGAUAAGAAAACGAUGCAUUUUCUCUUGACUGUUGGCAUUUGUGAAAAUAAUUAAUAGUAUACUUUAUUUUUGACAAAGUAUCAGUGGACUUGAAUUUAAUGCAUAAACGUAACUUUUUCAUGUAGAUAUUACACUUCUCACAGAAUUUUUAAGACUCUUGUUAUGUCCAGUUAAAAUUCCAUUCACAUUUACAAAAUUCAUACUUAUGUAUAAAAUCAAAGUAGCUAUUAAAUUUUCCUUAUACUUUCGAA